This 459-nucleotide long non-coding RNA is filed under the name Capsicum annuum. Its description in RNAcentral is "long non-coding RNA (CANN_LNC012775)". The record is from RNAcentral. Lineage: Eukaryota; Viridiplantae; Streptophyta; Magnoliopsida; Solanales; Solanaceae.
UCGCAUUAGCUCUAGGUGUGAAGUUUAAUACAACAAGCACAAUGAUGACUUUACUGAGCAUUAAAGAAUUGUCAAAUGAACAUCUAGAGAGGACCUAAAUAAGCAUCUGUUGAACUUCAUGGGAUCUGCAUGAGUACAAUUUGCUCGUAGUAAGUCAAGAGGCCAUCAAAUUGAAUUUUUUUUCAUCCUCACUGACCGGGGAGACAGCUCUUUGGCUAAAUGAAUUACCUGACGUCUCCAUUACAAUUUAGGCAGAUUUGACUACAUCUUUUCUAUGGAGGUUAUUCCCUCCAUCCUGAAUGAUACAAUUGAGAGAUGAAAUAACAACUUUAUACGGUUAUCAGAUGAAGCCUUGCAUGAAGCUCAACUUAGGUUUAAGAAAAAGCUGAAAUAGUUUUCCAAUCAUAAGUUGCCAAAUGACGUCCUUCAUGAAGUGUUCUACAGAUCGGUGAAUUCCAC